This 477-nucleotide ribosomal RNA is filed under the name uncultured bacterium. RNAcentral describes it as "partial 16S ribosomal RNA". It matches the Rfam family "Bacterial small subunit ribosomal RNA", at positions 30 to 507 of the family's 1533-position model. The record is from RNAcentral.
AUUGAACGCUGGCGGCAUGCCUUACACAUGCAAGUCGAACGGUAACAGGUUAAGCUGACGAGUGGCGAACGGGUGAGUAAUGUAUCGGAACGUGCCCAGUCGUGGGGGAUAACUGCUCGAAAGAGCAGCUAAUACCGCAUACGACCUGAGGGUGAAAGCGGGGGAUCGCAAGACCUCGCGCGGUUAGAGCGGCCGAUAUCAGAUUAGGUAGUUGGUGAGGUAAAGGCUCACCAAGCCGACGAUCUGUAGCUGGUCUGAGAGGACGACCAGCCACACUGGGACUGAGACACGGCCCAGACUCCUACGGGAGGAAGCAGUGGGGAAUUUUGGACAAUGGGCGCAAGCCUGAUCCAGCCAUGCCGCGUGCGGGAAGAAGGCCUUCGGGUUGUAAACCGCUUUUGUCAGGGAAGAAAAGGUUCUGGCUAAUACCUGGGACUCAUGACGGUACCUGAAGAAUAAGCACCGGCUAACUACGUG